CCUACGGGGGGCAGCAGUGGGGAAUAUUGCACAAUGGGGGAAACCCUGAUGCAGCGACGCCGCGUGCGGGAUGAAGGCCUUCGGGUUGUAAACCGCUUUCAGCAGGGACGCGGUACCUGCAGAAGAAGCACCGGCUAACUACGUGCCAGCAGCCGCGGUAAUACGUAGGGUGCAAGCGUUGUCCGGAAUUAUUGGGCGUAAAGAGUUCGUAGGCGGUUUGUCGCGUCCGUUGUGAAAGCUUGGGGCUCAACCCCAAGUCUGCAGUGGAUACGGGCAGACUAGAGUCAGGUAGGGGAGAACGGAAUUCCUGGUGUAGCGGUGAAAUGCGCAGAUAUCAGGAGGAACACCGGUGGCGAAGGCGGUUCUCUGGGCUGACUGACGCUGAGGAACGAAAGCGUGGGGAGCGAACAGGAUUAGAUACCCUUGUAGUC
RNAcentral lists this ribosomal RNA (431 nucleotides) under uncultured bacterium. Its description in RNAcentral is "partial 16S ribosomal RNA". It matches the Rfam family "Bacterial small subunit ribosomal RNA", at positions 338 to 795 of the family's 1533-position model. The record is from RNAcentral.